UUAAGCGACUAAGCGUACACGGUGGAUGCCCUGGCAGUCAGAGGCGAUGAAGGACGUGCUAAUCUGCGAAAAGCGUCGGUAAGGUGAUAUGAACCGUUAUAGCCGGCGAUGUCCGAAUGGGGAAACCCAGUGCAAUUCGUUGCACUAUCGUUAACUGAAUACAUAGGUUAACGAGGCGAACCGGGGGAACUGAAACAUCUAAGUACCCCGAGGAAAAGAAAUCAACCGAGAUUCCCCCAGUAGCGGCGAGCGAACGGGGAGCAGCCCAGAGUCUGAAUCAGCUUGUGUGUUAGUGGAACGGUCUGGAAAGUCCGACGGUACAGGGUGAUAGUCCCGUACACCAAAAUGCACAGGUUGUGAACUCGAAGAGUAGGGCGGGACACGUGGUAUCCUGUCUGAAUAUGGGGGGACCAUCCUCCAAGGCUAAAUACUCCUGACUGACCGAUAGUGAACCAGUACCGUGAGGGAAAGGCGAAAAGAACCCCGGCGAGGGGAGUGAAAAAGAACCUGAAACCGUGUACGUACAAGCAGUGGGAGCACCUUCGGGUGUGACUGCGUACCUUUUGUAUAAUGGGUCAGCGACUUAUAUUCUGUAGCAAGGUUAACCGUAUAGGGGAGCCGCAGGGAAACCGAGUCUUAACUGGGCGUUAAGUUGCAGGGUAUAGACCCGAAACCCGGUGAUCUAGCCAUGGGCAGGUUGAAGGUUGGGUAACACUAACUGGAGGACCGAACCGACUAAUGUUGAAAAAUUAGCGGAUGACUUGUGGCUGGGGGUGAAAGGCCAAUCAAACCGGGAGAUAGCUGGUUCUCCCCGAAAGCUAUUUAGGUAGCGCCUCGUGAACUCAUCUUCGGGGGUAGAGCACUGUUUCGGCUAGGGGGUCAUCCCGACUUACCAACCCGAUGCAAACUACGAAUACCGAAGAAUGUUAUCACGGGAGACACACGGCGGGUGCUAACGUCCGUCGUGAAGAGGGAAACAACCCAGACCGCCAGCUAAGGUCCCAAAGUCAUGGUUAAGUGGGAAACGAUGUGGGAAGGCACAGACAGCCAGGAUGUUGGCUUAGAAGCAGCCAUCAUUUAAAGAAAGCGUAAUAGCUCACUGGUCGAGUCGGCCUGCGCGGAAGAUGUAACGGGGCUAAACCAUGCACCGAAGCUGCGGCAGCGACACUAUGUGUUGUUGGGUAGGGGAGCGUUCUGUAAGCCUGCGAAGGUGUGCUGUGAGGCAUGCUGGAGGUAUCAGAAGUGCGAAUGCUGACAUAAGUAACGAUAAAGCGGGUGAAAAGCCCGCUCGCCGGAAGACCAAGGGUUCCUGUCCAACGUUAAUCGGGGCAGGGUGAGUCGACCCCUAAGGCGAGGCCGAAAGGCGUAGUCGAUGGGAAACAGGUUAAUAUUCCUGUACUUGGUGUUACUGCGAAGGGGGGACGGAGAAGGCUAUGUUAGCCGGGCGACGGUUGUCCCGGUUUAAGCAUGUAGGCUGAUUGUCCAGGCAAAUCCGGAUAAUCAAGGCUGAGGUGUGAUGACGAGGCACUACGGUGCUGAAGUAACAAAUGCCCUGCUUCCAGGAAAAGCCUCUAAGCAUCAGGUAACAUCAAAUCGUACCCCAAACCGACACAGGUGGUCAGGUAGAGAAUACCAAGGCGCUUGAGAGAACUCGGGUGAAGGAACUAGGCAAAAUGGUGCCGUAACUUCGGGAGAAGGCACGCUGGUGUGUAGGUGAAGUCCCUGCGGAUGGAGCUGAGACCAGUCGAAGAUACCAGCUGGCUGCAACUGUUUAUUAAAAACACAGCACUGUGCAAACACGAAAGUGGACGUAUACGGUGUGACGCCUGCCCGGUGCCGGAAGGUUAAUUGAUGGGGUUAUCCGUAAGGAGAAGCUCUUGAUCGAAGCCCCGGUAAACGGCGGCCGUAACUAUAACGGUCCUAAGGUAGCGAAAUUCCUUGUCGGGUAAGUUCCGACCUGCACGAAUGGCGUAAUGAUGGCCAGGCUGUCUCCACCCGAGACUCAGUGAAAUUGAACUCGCUGUGAAGAUGCAGUGUACCCGCGGCAAGACGGAAAGACCCCGUGAACCUUUACUAUAGCUUGACACUGAACAUUGAGCCUUGAUGUGUAGGAUAGGUGGGAGGCUUUGAAGCGUGGACGCCAGUCUGCGUGGAGCCAACCUUGAAAUACCACCCUUUAAUGUUUGAUGUUCUAACGUUGGCCCCUUACCGGGGUUGCGGACAGUGUCUGGUGGGUAGUUUGACUGGGGCGGUCUCCUCCCAAAGCGUAACGGAGGAGCACGAAGGUUAGCUAAUCCUGGUCGGACAUCAGGAGGUUAGUGCAAUGGCAUAAGCUAGCUUGACUGCGAGCGUGACGGCGCGAGCAGGUGCGAAAGCAGGUCAUAGUGAUCCGGUGGUUCUGAAUGGAAGGGCCAUCGCUCAACGGAUAAAAGGUACUCCGGGGAUAACAGGCUGAUACCGCCCAAGAGUUCAUAUCGACGGCGGUGUUUGGCACCUCGAUGUCGGCUCAUCACAUCCUGGGGCUGAAGUAGGUCCCAAGGGUAUGGCUGUUCGCCAUUUAAAGUGGUACGCGAGCUGGGUUUAGAACGUCGUGAGACAGUUCGGUCCCUAUCUGCCGUGGGCGCUGGAGAAUUGAGGGGGGCUGCUCCUAGUACGAGAGGACCGGAGUGGACGCAUCACUGGUGUUCGGGUUGUCAUGCCAAUGGCACUGCCCGGUAGCUAAAUGCGGAAGAGAUAAGUGCUGAAAGCAUCUAAGCACGAAACUUGCCCCGAGAUGAGUUCUCCCUGAGACUUUAAGUCUCCUGAAGGAACGUUAAAGACGAUGACGUUGAUAGGCCGGGUGUGUAAGCGCAGCGAUGCGUUGAGCUAACCGGUACUAAUGAACCGUGAGGCUUAACCUU
Molecule: ribosomal RNA, 2900 nt
Filed under: Klebsiella pneumoniae
Lineage: Bacteria; Pseudomonadati; Pseudomonadota; Gammaproteobacteria; Enterobacterales; Enterobacteriaceae
Description: 23S ribosomal RNA
Rfam family: Bacterial large subunit ribosomal RNA
Source: RNAcentral